AUUGAACGCUGGCGGCAGGCCUAACACAUGCAAGUCGAGCGGAGGAAGGGAGCUUGCUCCUGGAUUCAGCGGCGGACGGGUGAGUAAUGCCUAGGAAUCUGCCUGGUAGUGGGGGAUAACGUCCGGAAACGGGCGCUAAUACCGCAUACGUCCUGAGGGAGAAAGUGGGGGAUCUUCGGACCUCACGCUAUCAGAUGAGCCUAGGUCGGAUUAGCUAGUUGGUGGGGUAAAGGCCUACCAAGGCGACGAUCCGUAACUGGUCUGAGAGGAUGAGCAGUCACACUGGAACUGAGACACGGUCCAGACUCCUACGGGAGGCAGCAGUGGGGAAUAUUGGACAAUGGGCGAAAGCCUGAUCCAGCCAUGCCGCGUGUGUGAAGAAGGUCUUCGGAUUGUAAAGCACUUUAAGUUGGGAGGAAGGGCAGUAAGUUAAUACCUUGCUGUCUUGACGUUACCAACAGAAUAAGCACCGGCUAACUUCGUG
This 484-nucleotide ribosomal RNA is filed under the name uncultured bacterium. RNAcentral describes it as "partial 16S ribosomal RNA". It matches the Rfam family "Bacterial small subunit ribosomal RNA", at positions 30 to 507 of the family's 1533-position model. The record is from RNAcentral.